This 52-nucleotide non-coding RNA is filed under the name unclassified sequences. RNAcentral's name for it is "DUF3800-VI RNA". It matches the Rfam family "DUF3800-VI RNA". From Rfam's summary of the family: Actinobacteria, Planctomycetes, Proteobacteria, Spirochaetes. Nearby to DUF3800 The record is from RNAcentral.
CAGUUGAGAGGGCCGCAUUAGGCGGUUCGCUAGGCAGCAGCCUACUCGGCUG